AGUGAACGCUGGCGGUAGGCCUAACACAUGCAAGUCGAACGGCAGCACAAUAAGAGCUUGCUCUUACGGGUGGCGAGUGGCGGACGGGUGAGGAAUACAUCGGAAUCUACUUUUUCGUGGGGGAUAACGUAGGGAAACUUACGCUAAUACCGCAUACGACCUACGGGUGAAAGCAGGGGAUCUUCGGACCUUGCGCGAUUGAAUGAGCCGAUGUCGGAUUAGCUAGUUGGCGGGGUAAGGGCCCACCAAGGCGACGAUCCGUAGCUGGUCUGAGAGGAUGAUCAGCCACACUGGAACUGAGACACGGUCCAGACUCCUACGGGAGGCAGCAGUGGGGAAUAUUGGACAAUGGGCGCAAGCCUGAUCCAGCCAUACCGCGUGGGUGAAGAAGGCCUUCGGGUUGUAAAGCCCUUUUGUUGGGAAAGAAAAGCAGCAGGUUAAUACCCCGCUGUUCUGACGGUACCCAAAGAAUAAGCACCGGCUAACUUCGUG
RNAcentral lists this ribosomal RNA (492 nucleotides) under uncultured bacterium. RNAcentral's name for it is "partial 16S ribosomal RNA". It matches the Rfam family "Bacterial small subunit ribosomal RNA", at positions 29 to 507 of the family's 1533-position model. The record is from RNAcentral.